This 27-nucleotide ribosomal RNA is filed under the name Descomyces sp. H0736. Its description in RNAcentral is "partial 28S ribosomal RNA". RNAcentral also lists the same sequence under 4 other names. The record is from RNAcentral. Lineage: Eukaryota; Fungi; Basidiomycota; Agaricomycetes; Agaricales; Bolbitiaceae.
CAGGUAGGACUACCCGCUGAACUUAAG